Molecule: long non-coding RNA, 240 nt
Organism: Dipodomys ordii (Ord's kangaroo rat)
Lineage: Eukaryota; Metazoa; Chordata; Mammalia; Rodentia; Heteromyidae
Exons: 3
Source: RefSeq, a predicted model, not a curated record
UUACUACCGGACCUGAGCAAGGCCGUUCCGUCACCGUUUUCAGACGCCCCCGGGGUCGCGGCUGCUGGGGCGGAUCUUCUGUUCGUCUGGAGGCCGCAGCCGCAAAGAAUGAGCCGUACUCUGGGAAAGGUGCUGGGCCUAGGGAACAACUCUGUUUCUAAACAAGUCUUUUCCCUCUUAAGAAUCUCAGGAGAGAAUCCCAUUUAUUCAGCAGGUAAGUCAUUAUUUUCUGAUAUCGGU